UGUUAAAAAUUUCAUUUAUUUGUACUGUUAAAAAUUGGCCUGAUUGACGAAAUAACCAGACAAUGGCAUGUGGUAUAUCACAUGUAUCUCAUGCUGACAUACAUGGACCAAUUUUUUAUAGUAGAAAUAGAAAUUUUUUUUAACA
This 145-nucleotide microRNA precursor is filed under the name Gossypium arboreum. RNAcentral describes it as "MIR7502 microRNA precursor family". It matches the Rfam family "MIR7502 microRNA precursor family". The record is from Rfam by way of RNAcentral. Lineage: Eukaryota; Viridiplantae; Streptophyta; Magnoliopsida; Malvales; Malvaceae.